UACGAAGGGAGCUAGCGUUGUUCGGAAUCACUGGGCGUAAAGCGCACGUAGGCGGAUUUGUCAGUCAGGGGUGAAAUCCCGGGGCUCAACCUCGGAACUGCCUUUGAUACAGCAAGUCUUGAGUUCGAGAGAGGUGGGUGGAAUUCCUAGUGUAGAGGUGAAAUUCGUAGAUAUUAGGAAGAACACCGGUGGCGAAGGCGGCCCACUGGCUCGAUACUGACGCUGAGGUGCGACAGCGUGGGGAGCAAACAGG
RNAcentral lists this ribosomal RNA (253 nucleotides) under uncultured bacterium. RNAcentral's name for it is "partial 16S ribosomal RNA". It matches the Rfam family "Bacterial small subunit ribosomal RNA", at positions 524 to 776 of the family's 1533-position model. The record is from RNAcentral.